AGUGAACGCUGGCGGUAGGCCUAACACAUGCAAGUCGAACGGCAGCACAGUAAGAGCUUGCUCGUACGGGUGUCGAGUGGCAGACGGGUGGGGAAUACAGCGGAAUCUACUUUUUCGUUGUGGAUAACGGAGGGAAACUUAGGCUAAUACCGCAUACGACCUACGGGUGAAAGCAGGGGAUCUUCGGACCUUUCGCGAUUGAAGGAGCCGAUGUCGGAAUAUCUCGUUGGCGGGGUAAGGGCCCACCAACGCGACGCUCCGUAGCUGGUCUGAGCGGAUGGUGAGCCGCAAUAGAACGGAGACAACGUCGAGAAUACUACGGGAGGAAGCAGCGGGGAAUAAUAGACAAUGGGCGGAAGACGGAUCCAGCAACACCGCGUGGGGGAAGAAGGAGUUCGGGUUGUAAAGACCCUUUGUUGGGAAAGAAAAGCAGCAGGUUAAUACCCCGCUGUUUUGACGGUACCCAAAGAAUAAGCACCGGCUAACUUCGUG
Molecule: ribosomal RNA, 492 nt
Filed under: uncultured bacterium
Lineage: Bacteria
Description: partial 16S ribosomal RNA
Rfam family: Bacterial small subunit ribosomal RNA
Source: RNAcentral